CCUAAUACAUGCAAGUCGAGCGAAGUGGAGGAAGCUUGCUUCCAAAGCUUAGCGGCGGACGGGUGAGUAACACGUGGGCAAUCUGGCUGUAGGACAGGGAUAACCCCGGGAAACCGGAGCUAAUACCGGAUAGAGGUAAAGAUCGCAUGAACUUUACCGGAAAGAUGGCGCAAGCUAUCACCUGCAGAUGAGCCCGCGGCGCAUUAGCUAGUUGGUGGGGUAACGGCCUACCAAGGCGACGAUGCGUAGCCGACCUGAGAGGGUGAUCGGCCACACUGGGACUGAGACACGGCCCAGACUCCUACGGGAGGCAGCAGUAGGGAAUCUUCCGCAAUGGACGAAAGUCUGACGGAGCAACGCCGCGUGAGUGAUGAAGGUUUUCGGAUUGUAAAACUCUGUCAUUAGGGAAGAACGGCUAUGGUUUAAAGAAGGCCAUAGAGUGACGGUACCUAAAGAGGAAGCCCCGGCUAACUACGUGCCAGCAGCCGCGGUAAUACGUAGGGGGCAAGCGUUGUCCGGAAUUAUUGGGCGUAAAGCGCGCGCAGGCGGUUCUUUAAGUCUGAUGUGAAAGCCCCCGGCUCAACCGUGGAGGGCCCUUGGAAACUG
RNAcentral lists this ribosomal RNA (606 nucleotides) under bacterium enrichment culture clone aHCH7_H5. RNAcentral's name for it is "bacterial SSU rRNA". It matches the Rfam family "Bacterial small subunit ribosomal RNA", at positions 47 to 635 of the family's 1533-position model. The record is from RNAcentral.